Molecule: long non-coding RNA, 2415 nt
Filed under: Sorghum bicolor (sorghum)
Lineage: Eukaryota; Viridiplantae; Streptophyta; Magnoliopsida; Poales; Poaceae
Description: long non-coding RNA (SBIC_LNC007778)
Source: RNAcentral
UUCCUAGUAGUAACUAGUAACCAGUUCCUGCCUCCUGCUCGAGGCUGAGGCCUGCUAAGAAAUACAUGGUUCAAAUCCUAGCCAAAAACAAAAGUCACUAACCUUUCACACCAUCGAACAUGGAGACCUGAUCAUCCAUGGAGAGUGGCAAGUGGGUGAGAGUAAGGCAGCUGACCAUGGAAGAAGUCAAGAGAAGUAGCCAGGUGAGGAUUAACCACAUCGAAAAGAAGAAACUUUUCAGUAGUCAAGACCUGCAAGGAGAAAGCGUGCUUGUUGAGGGAGAGAGUGAAGCUAAACAUCACCGGAAUUAAGGUGAGGUUUAUUUUCACAUGCACAUCUAUAGAAACUUUUUCCUUCUCCACUAAGAGCACGAUACACCUACCAUGAAGAUAGAUAUUUUGACUGUACUAGUAGAGCAUAGCUAACAAAUACUAGGUGAUAUGUUUUGGCCAAGGAAAAUUGUGUGCUAGCUGUAAUCAGAACAUGAACUAGUAUUCUCCUUUUUUUUGUGUGCAAAUAUACACAUAAAUAGUUGAAUCAGGGCUAAAACAUUUACAAAAGAAACUUUCACAUCUACAUGUAAACUGACUAGAUGAACUGAGUUUGAGGAUGCAAGAGUAGGAGCACUCACUGUCAGGUUGUGGAGGUUGUCGCCGGACUUUGGAGUCAUGGUGCUGCACACACGGGUCUUCUUGGCCCUGUCCUGGGCAUCACGGCCGCCAAGCACGGCACCGUGAUGGAGCAGGUCGCCGCCGGCCGCCACCCCCCAACCUGCACACAUUAGAGAGGAAAAAUCGAAGGGGAGAAAUAGAUAGAUAGCAACUACAACUUUUGGGGACUUGAUUUGGGGUACAAAUCGCUGAAAUACUCCAGCCAUGGGGGUGGAUUUGGUACAGCCACCUUGGGCGCCAUGGCUGCAGAAGAGGGAAAAAGGAAGCAGAGCUAGCAGAGAGAGGAGAUGGAGAGUGGGCAGUGCGUGUGUUGCUCUGUUGACUUGCAAGUGCAUUGGGUGUCUACAUGUACUAGUACUACUACACUAAGUAGUAUGAAGUAGGGUACCUUUCUCUUUUUUUUCAUUGGAUGAGCUCACAUGUUAUUAGCAGGGAAAGGCGAGGUUAGGAGUUAUUAGUUUAUCCAGUGACUGACUAAUUUUUAAAUAUGUCUAUAUAUAUUUCCUAUAAAUCAUGCCAUGAUUAAGAUUAAGGACUAAUGAUUUAUGAGCAAUCUUUGACAAUAAGAGAUACUAGCUCGGACACAGCUACCAUGUAGAUUAUUAUAUAUACAUAUGAUUAUUGUUGUCUUAUUUUGCUAAGUACCUAUAUAUAAAUAUUACGAUGACAGGAGGCAAACUAAAAUAGUGGGAGGACGUCCGAAGAAUACAAACGUAUCGAUCAACAUUUUCUGAUACAGGCAAGUCAUGUAGAUGAUACAUUGAUUUUUUUAUAAAGACGAACCUAUUUUCAAAAUGCUUGCAUGAAAAUAUAUUUUCUAAAUUAAACUGAACAUGAUGAGGAUAAUGAUUAUUGGAUGAUAAAUGAAGAUUCGGUAUACAGAGAGCUUAUGGAAUGUGAUGAUGAAUUAGGGUCGGUCAAGCUCUCUCUAUAUCGACUAUGAAUACAUAAGGACUCACCCUUCUCACUCAUUAUGUGGGCCGUAUGAAAUCGUGUCGGCAAGUGAACUCGUUUGUGACGGGCCGAGUCUGGUACCCAUGAAUGUUGUUAUAUACUCCCUAUGGUAAGUGAGGAGAGGGUUGGGUGAUGAAAUCCCCAAUCAGGUGUCGAUGAAGUACACUCAGGCGUAUAUAUUAGCGCACGUGGAUAGAUGUGGAUGUAUAUAAUAUACGGUAGUGGGGAAAGUCACGGUAUCUUGACCAUGAGUCAUACCUAAGGAAGUGUGAUGGAAAAUUGGUCAAGGUAAUCAUGGGUAAAGCGAUACAAACCUGCACAGGGUUAAACCGUGAAUUCACGUUAUGUCUCUUGGAUCGGAGGCUACGGGAGCCUACAGGAGGCUCUGUCUCACUUAUGGGUGAUAAUAGAUUUCUUAAUUUAUUUUCUAAAAUAUGCAAUUUUUUGGUAAAUGAUCUAUGAAUGAGAAUAGAUAUGACAAAAAGAUAGGAAUGCAUUUCAUUUGAUUUAUUAUAUGCUUGCUGAGUGUUUUGUACUCACUCUUGCUAUUAACCCUCCCCCUUCAGAUGAAAAGGGACAACCUAUGAUGAAGAGAUAGGCCAAGCACUUGAUCUAAAGACAGCCACAGGAAAAAUACAUGAUAGAAAUAAAUUUCAAUUAUGAUGUAAAGAUGUUGCUAUUAUAAUUGUUUUGGGUAAUGUUUAUUAACUGUAUUUAUUUUUACUGUAAUAAAUUUUAUAAGAUCUUAACUAUCGUUCUGUUGCAUCACUUUGAUUAGAGUCAUUAUUCG